GUGUUUUUUGUUAUUCCAUAUGAACUUAUUUAUUUCUGAAAAAGAAAUGUCACUGGAUCUCCUUAGGACCUCAGGUUGACCUCAGAGUAGCCACUCCUUCCUUGAGGGGUGCAAUAGAC
This is a small nucleolar RNA of Phyllostomus hastatus (greater spear-nosed bat), 119 nucleotides long. RefSeq annotates it as small nucleolar RNA SNORA64/SNORA10 family. Lineage: Eukaryota; Metazoa; Chordata; Mammalia; Chiroptera; Phyllostomidae. The record is from RefSeq and is a predicted model, not a curated record. The transcript has a single exon.